RNAcentral lists this transfer RNA (86 nucleotides) under Nanobdellota archaeon. RNAcentral's name for it is "tRNA-Leu". It matches the Rfam family "tRNA". Rfam says of the family: Transfer RNA (tRNA) molecules are approximately 80 nucleotides in length. Lineage: Archaea; Nanobdellati; Nanobdellota. The record is from RNAcentral.
GCGGGGGUGGCAGAGCCUGGUCAAAUGCGUUAGGUUGAGGGCCUAAUCCCAUAGAGGGUGCGCGUGUUCGAAUCACGUCCCCCGCA